Hippocampus zosterae (dwarf seahorse) is the source of this 3949-nucleotide RNA transcript. It is a transcript of the gene named ATPase phospholipid transporting 9B, with no coding region annotated. The transcript is spliced from 28 exons. Lineage: Eukaryota; Metazoa; Chordata; Actinopteri; Syngnathiformes; Syngnathidae. The record is from RefSeq and is a predicted model, not a curated record.
CCGGGGGGUAGUGACGUCACCGCGCGGAUUUGCCGGCCAAGAUGUCUGAUAUCCUGUCCGAACCGAUGCGGAAGAGCUUUCGGAGAAGCCCUUAUCACUACCACUCCGUCAGACAGUCGAGAUUCUCCAUCAACGAUGAGGCGUCCGGCCUGGAUGAGAUGCCCCUGAUGAUGUCCGACGAGGCCUUUGAGAACGACGAAAGCGACUACGAAACGCUGACACGGGCCCGAGUCAGUCACAGACGGCGAGGCCUCAGGUGGUUCCUCUUCGGCGGGUGGAGAGUCCUCUGCGAAAGCUGCUGCGAUUGCCUUGUCCGAAUGUGUCGGCGGAAGAAGGAGCUGAAGGCUCGCACCGUCUGGCUCGGCCACCCGGAGAAAUGCGAGGAGAAGUUCCCUAAAAACUCCAUCCGCAACCAGAAGUACAACUUCUUCACCUUUGUGCCUGGGGUUCUCUACCAGCAGUUCAAGUUCUUCCUCAAUCUCUACUUCCUGGUGGUGGCCUGCUCGCAGUUUGUGCCCUCGCUGCAGAUCGGAUACUUGUACACGUACUGGGCGCCCUUGGGCUUCGUGCUGGCGGUCACCAUGGCGCGCGAGGCGGUGGACGAGGUGCGGCGCCACCAGCGGGACAAGGAGAUGAACUCGCAGCUGUACAGCAAGCUGACGCCGUGCGGUAAAGUCCAGGUGAAGAGCUCAGACAUCCAAGUGGGCGACUUGAUUAUCGCCGAGAAGAACCAAAGGAUUCCCGCAGACAUGAUCUUUCUGAGGACGUCUGAGAAGAACGGGACGUGCUUCAUCAGGACCGACCAGCUGGACGGCGAGACAGACUGGAAGCUGAAAGUGGCUGUGGGAUGCACACAACGCCUUCCGGCAGUGGGGGACCUGUUCUCCAUCAAUGCCUUUGUCUACGCCCAGAAGCCUGAGCUGGACAUCCACAGUUUUGAGGGAAACUUCACACGGGAGGACGCUGACCCCCAGGUCCACGAGAGCCUGAGCAUCGAAAACACACUGUGGGCCAGCACGGUCGUCGCCUCGGGCACUGUGAUCGGGGUGGUUAUCUACACCGGCAAGGAGACCCGCAGUGUACUCAAUACGUCCGAAGCCAAAAACAAGGUGGGCCUACUGGACUUGGAAUUGAACCGACUCACCAAGGCCCUGUUCUUCGCCCAACUAGUUCUGUCCAUUGUCAUGGAAGCCCUGCUCGGCUUUGUGGGCCCGUGGUUCCGCAACCUGUUCCGCUUUGUUGUGCUCUUCUCUUAUAUCAUCCCCAUAAGCCUACGAGUGAAUCUGGACAUGGGCAAGGCAGCCUACGGCUGGAUGAUCAUGAAGGAUGAGAAUAUUCCCGGCACGGUGGUGAGGACCAGCACCAUCCCGGAAGAACUGGGCCGGCUGGUCUACCUGCUGACGGAUAAAACAGGCACUUUGACACAAAACGAGAUGAUCUUCAAGCGGCUGCACCUGGGAACCGUGUCCUACGGUACCGACACCAUGGACGAAAUCCAGAGCCAUGUCAUCCAGUCCUACGCUCAGGGCCCCUCCAGUGGUGGCACCGGCGGCUCCGCCACAGCGUCCCAGAAAUCCCAGACCCCGGGCCCCAAAGUCCGCAAGAGCGUCAGCAGCCGCAUCCACGAGGCGGUGAAGGCCAUUGCUCUGUGCCACAACGUCACGCCCGUCUACGAGGCGUGUGGCGAGACCGAGACGGCGGAGGCCGAGCAGGACUUCAGCGACGACAACCGCACGUACCAGGCCUCCAGUCCCGAUGAGGUGGCGCUGGUGCAGUGGACUCAGAGUGUGGGCCUGACCCUGGUGAACCGAGACCUGGCCUCCCUGCAGCUCAAGACGCCUGCCGGGCAGAUCCUGUCCUUCAGCAUCCUGCAGAUCUUCCCCUUCACCUCCGAGAGCAAGCGCAUGGGUAUCAUUGUCAGGGAGGAGUCGACAGGUGACAUCACAUUCUACAUGAAGGGUGCCGACGUGGCCAUGGCGAGCAUCGUCCAGUACAACGACUGGCUGGAGGAGGAGUGUGGCAACAUGGCCCGAGAAGGUCUGAGAACGUUGGUGGUGGCCAAGAAGUCGCUGUCUGAGGAGCAGUACCAGGACUUUGAGAGCCGCUACAACCAGGCCAAGCUGAGCAUCCACGACCGGACCCUUAAAGUAGCAGCGGUGGUGGAGAGCCUGGAGCGGGAGAUGGAGCUCCUCUGUCUGACCGGCGUGGAGGACCAGCUGCAGGCUGAUGUUAGGCCCACGCUGGAGCUUCUUAGGAACGCCGGCAUCAAGAUCUGGAUGUUGACCGGGGACAAGCUGGAAACUGCCACGUGCAUCGCCAAAAGCUCUCAUUUGGUCUCUAGAAACCAGGACAUCCAUCUUUUCCGACCGGUGACAAACCGAGGGGAGGCCCACCUUGAACUCAACGCCUUCCGCAGGAAGUACGACUGCGCGCUGGUCAUCUCGGGCGACUCCCUGGAGGUGUGCCUGCGUUACUACGAGCACGAGUUUGUGGAGCUGGCGUGCCAGUGUCCCGCCGUGGUGUGCUGUCGCUGCUCGCCCACGCAGAAGGCCCAGAUCGUCACGCUGCUCCAGCAGCACACCGCCAAUAGAACCUGUGCCAUUGGUGAUGGCGGAAAUGACGUAAGCAUGAUCCAGGCUGCCAACUGCGGGAUUGGAAUCGAAGGAAAGGAAGGCAAGCAGGCGUCGCUGGCGGCCGACUUCUCUAUCACGCAGUUCAAACACAUCGGCCGCCUCCUCAUGGUGCACGGCAGGAAUAGCUACAAGCGCUCAGCAGCCCUGGGGCAGUUUGUCAUGCACCGGGGAAUGAUCAUCUCUGCCAUGCAGGCUGUCUUCUCUUCCAUAUUCUAUUUUGCUUCUGUUCCCUUGUAUCAAGGAUUCCUCAUGGUUGGUUACGCCACCAUCUACACCAUGUUCCCGGUGUUCUCGCUGGUCCUGGAUCAGGACGUGAAACCAGAGAUGGCGCUGCUCUACCCGGAGCUCUACAAGGACUUGACCAAGGGCCGCUCGCUUUCCUUCAAGACCUUCCUGAUCUGGGUUUUGGUUAGCGUUUAUCAAGGGGGCAUCCUGAUGUACGGGGCCUUGGUGCUGUUCGAGUCGGAGUUUGUGCACGUGGUGGCCAUCUCGUUCACGGCGCUCAUCUUGACCGAGCUGCUCAUGGUGGCGCUGACGGUGCGCAUGUGGCACUGGCUCAUGGUGGUGGCAGAGUUCCUCAGCCUGGGCUGUUACUUGGCCUCGCUCGCCUUCCUCAACGAGUACUUUGAUUUGAGGUAUAUCACCACGUGGCCUUUUAUUUGGAAGGUGUCGUCCAUCACACUGGUCAGCUGCCUGCCGCUUUACAUCAUUAAGUACCUCAAGCGGAAAUUCUCACCAUCCAGCUACUCCAAACUGGCCUCCUGAGACAUACACGGAAGCCAUCUUGUCAUCAACUUUCGCACACAUUUUUUUUCUUUUCUUUUCACCGCUGCAACUCCUCACUGCUGGAUGUGGAGGCUCCUCCCUGCCUUGGGCCGUUACCAGGCAGCGGCCUUCACAACAGGAAACUUGGGAUUCCGUCAUAGUGGCCAGAGAAAAAAGGAGAACAUUGAUGGGAGACAGGAAGUCUGAGCGCAGGAAAAAGAGCUGAGAAGUGAAGGGAGGUACGUUUAGCCAGCGAGCUAAGUAAAAACGCAGUGGCUAAAACAUGGCCUCCACCAAGGCCCAACGGCACAUGCCUCAAUUUGGUCUUUCAUCCUUUUUAUGGAGAGAAAUGAAGCAAACCGGUCAAAAAUUUAUGUCACACAUGCAUUCUUUUUUUUUCUCCAUAAUCUACUACCCUCACAUCUUGCCCAAAAUAGCCAUGAUCAGACGUUGCCAGUCAUAAAUUGAAGAAAAAUAAAAUAAUUUAUAAUCUGCUCUGAAUUAAAAAAAAUAGAACUUUAUAAUACUGUGCCUGCAUUAAAAAAAAUAUA